GACGAACGCUGGCGGCGUGCUUAACACAUGCAAGUCGUACGGUAAGGCCCUUUCGGGGGUACACGAGUGGCGAACGGGUGAGUAACACGUGAGUAACCUGCCCACAACUUUGGGAUAACGCUAGGAAACUGGUGCUAAUACUGGAUAUGUUCUCCUGCUGCAUGGUGGGGGUUGGAAAGCUCCGGCGGUUGUGGAUGGACUCGCGGCCUAUCAGCUUGUUGGUGGGGUAGUGGCCUACCAAGGCGGCGACGGGUAGCCGGCCUGAGAGGGUGACCGGCCACAUUGGGACUGAGAUACGGCCCAGACUCCUACGGGAGGCAGCAGGGGGGAAUAUUGCACAAUGGGCGCAAGCCUGAUGCAGCAACGCCGCGUGCGGGAUGACGGCCUUCGGGUUGUAAACCGCUUUCAGCAGGGACGAAGCUUUUUGUGACGGUACCUGCAGAAGAAGCACCGGCUAACUACGUG
Molecule: ribosomal RNA, 465 nt
Filed under: uncultured bacterium
Lineage: Bacteria
Description: partial 16S ribosomal RNA
Rfam family: Bacterial small subunit ribosomal RNA
Source: RNAcentral